RNAcentral lists this ribosomal RNA (497 nucleotides) under uncultured bacterium. RNAcentral describes it as "partial 16S ribosomal RNA". It matches the Rfam family "Bacterial small subunit ribosomal RNA", at positions 28 to 507 of the family's 1533-position model. The record is from RNAcentral.
GAUGAACGCUGGCGGCGUGCCUAAUACAUGCAAGUCGAGCGAACAGACGAGGAGCUUGCUCCUCUGACGUUAGCGGCGGACGGGUGAGUAACACGUGGAUAACCUACCUAUAAGACUGGGAUAACUUCGGGAAACCGGAGCUAAUACCGGAUAAUAUAUUGAACCGCAUGGUUCAAUAGUGAAAGACGGUUUUGCUGUCACUUAUAGCUGGAUCCGCGCCGCAUUAGCUAGUUGGUAAGGUAACGGCUUACCAAGGCAACGAUGCGUAGCCGACCUGAGAGGGGGAUCGGCCACACUGGAACGGGGACACGGUCCAGACUCCUACGGGAGGCAGCAGUAGGGAAUCUUACGCAAUGGGCGAAAACCUGGCGGAGCAACGCCGAGUGAGUGAUGGAGGUCUUCGGAUCGGAAAACUCUGUUAUGAGGGAAAAACAAAUGUGUAAGUAACUAUGCACGUCUUGACGGUACCUAAUCAGAAAGCCACGGCUAACUACGUG